UACGUAGGGGGCAAGCGUUGUCCGGAAUCAUUGGGCGUAAAGAGCGUGUAGGCGGCUCAGUAAGUCCGCUCUGAAAGCCCGGGGGCUCAACCCCGGGAGGCGGGUGGAUACUGCUGAGCUUGAGUCCGGAAGAGGCGAGUGGAAUUCCCCGGUGUAGCGGUGAAAUGCGCAGAUAUCGGGGAGGAACACCAAUGGCGAAGGCAGCUCGCUGGGACGUGACUGACGCUGGAGACGGCGAAAAGCGUGGGGGAGCAA
Molecule: ribosomal RNA, 255 nt
Filed under: uncultured bacterium
Lineage: Bacteria
Description: partial 16S ribosomal RNA
Rfam family: Bacterial small subunit ribosomal RNA
Source: RNAcentral